Long non-coding RNA from Corapipo altera (White-ruffed manakin), 258 nucleotides. RefSeq lists it as uncharacterized. The transcript is spliced from 2 exons. NCBI's taxonomy places the organism in Eukaryota, Metazoa, Chordata, Aves, Passeriformes, Pipridae. The record is from RefSeq and is a predicted model, not a curated record.
UCACUUCACCUGGAUUUGAAGUUUCUGGAGCUGAAUGUUCACCUUGUUUCAGCACUUAAGGGCUGAUGAUGUUCAAAGAGUGUUAUGAACUCCGGGCUCAAGGAGAGGUAGAAGUUGUUCCUGCUGGAUUGGUCAUCCCUACAUAUAAACACCUGGAAGGAAGAGGGGAACAUCUCAUUGGAGAAGAAACAAAAGGCUGGUGGCAAAUUUACUGAAUUCUGGGAAACUUUAGCCAGAGUAAUGAUGCCUUUGGAUUGC